GGCGCGCAGCCGCCACGGGCACCCCGACAGCCUCAGGCUGCCACCUACACGUGGCGCCUCUAGGAUUUCCUGACGGACUUAUUUUAAAAAUAUUUACUUUCUGGCAAAAAAAAAAAAAAAAAAAAAAUAGCUACAGUAGUUUAGAAGCUUGGCCAGCCCUGAAGAAAAGCACGCUGCAAGACGCGUCCCUGCCGGCAUAUUUCCGACUUCCCCAACUUCUACCUCGCCCACUGCUAGCGACGCUCCAGACGCAGCGUUGGCCGCUUGGGGACCUGCACACACGACCUGGCACGCGGAUUCAGGAUCACUUAACACACUGGUGUUAAGUCCAUGCUUGCUGCAAAAGGAGAUCAUUGUAUGUCCUGACCCUGAAAGCAAGGUUGCUCAUGAUGCAGGGUUUGGGGAAGAAAUCUUCAUCAUUCACAGCUGAUGCAAACUGAGAGCGCCAGAACUGUUUAGGUAUGUGACCCAAAUUUCCUGUUCAGCCAGAAGUGGCACCCUGAGUGGAACAGAAGAAUCCAGUAGACUCGCUGACAUAUAAACAGUGGACGAUAUGUGUUUUUGCUGUCUCUUGUCAACAUAUCCUGGGCAUGAAUUUUGUUCCUAACCUGUCCUGAGAACACCAACUUAUGACGUCUAUGGGGAAGUCCUGUGAAAUUCCUUGAAGAGCCCCUAACCAUUGGAAAGAAAAUAUUCAAUGAAAACAUUUGCUAAAGGCACCAUUCUACUGAGAAAUCAGCAGAAGACCUUUGUAAAAACAUGAAGGUUGGCAUACUCCUGGAAGGAAGGAAGACUUUGAACCAUGAAACACACACUGAUCAUGAAGUUGGUAAUAUCACUGGAACUCAUUACAGACCAUACCCAGGUUAUUUUUCUUCUGUGUAUUAAUGAGAGGAGUUCAGGAUGCUGAGCUUUGUUUAUGGAAGAAAUUGGCGUCUGUGAAGCAGAGUAAACACAAAUGUGUUAAAAGCAUUCCAAGGAGAUGAAGACAUCUGCCUUGUAUUUUCACAUUGCUGAAGAAAAGUUAAGGACAGGAAGAACAAAAAGGAAGAAAACAAUGUUUCAAGUAGAAUUCAAGCCAGAUUCAACUCACUUUGAAUCUAGAGCAGAAGUUAGUGUGCUUUUCUUGUGACCCAAACCUACCUCGGAGCCUGUUUUCAUAUGAACUGUGUCUCUUUAAAUCUACGGAGGACAAUAUUCCUUCUGGCCCACAGGAUGCCAAAAUGACUUGAUGAUUUAUUUAUGCAGCGCUUGGCAGCCCAUAGUCCAGAUUGUGGCUGAAGCUGAAUUUUAUGAGCCUUCCCCUACAGUUUAUCUGGUCAUUCAACAACUGUUUAUUGGGCUUCUUACCGUGUACCCGGAAGUAUUCCAGACUCAGGGGACUGCGAGGAGCAGAGAGACACUGUCACAUCGCUCCAGGAGCAGACAUUUCAGAGGAGGCAGAUGGAUGACAAACAGGACUAUGCACUUGGUCCCCUGAAGCCUGGAAGAGGUGGACCUACUUGUCCAGGAACUGCCCGAAGAUGCUGUAGCUGAAGCCAGGUGGAGAGAGAGAGAGAGAGAGAGAGGCCUUCCAUCUGCUGGUUCACUCCCCAGAUGGCCACAACAGCCAGAGCUGGACCUAUCCGAAGCCAGGAGCCAGGAGCUUCUUCUGGGUCUCAAACAGCUGGAUCCUGAAAGAUCCAGGUUGGUUGAAGACUGCUGGUGAGUGUGCAGCUUUGUCCAACGAUUACCUAAUGCAUGUGUGUCAUCUGCUUUCCCUGUUGUGAGAAAACACACUGAGGAAAUGUGUAAGUCCACUGAAUUGUUCCCAACUCUUUAUUCACCUUUCAGCAUGCUAGUUCCUUCCCUUGGCGUUGAUAUCAUUAUGCAUUUGUCAAAGAUAGACUGUCACUUUAGGGCCUCUAUUAUGUGCAAGAAUUGGCAGCAAAUUUUGCCACUGGGAUUUGCUUAUAUCCUCUGUAUGUUAUUGUGCUUCUUUGGCAUUCAGUAAAUUCCAUACACCCACUUCUUUGAUGUUCAUUCCAACCCCUAAAUGUGGAAACAAUGACUGAAAUUUUGGAUCAAAGCGCUGUGUGGAUGGCAGGCAACCCAGCACUCUGAUAAUUCACUGGAACAGAGAGCGCCUCCCUCCCCCUGAAAAUCUAGGCCAAUGGCCCUCCAAGAACAGCGUGGCUUCCCUAUGCAAAGUCACGACAGGAAGUAAAGAAAACAACUCCAAGGUUUUAGUUUAAAAAAAAAAAAGGAAAGGAAAGAAAGAAAAGAGACUCAACUGGAUGGCGCUAUUGAAGCUCAUGGUCAUUUCUAAGUAUAGAGAAAGCUAACUACCGUUCCAGUUGGUUUCCCCAUUUCCUCUCCCCACCCCCACCCCACUGGCCAUGCUCCCGUUAGCACUCGAACUGGGCCAGGCCUUUCCAGAUUUGGAACAGUCUCCAGAUCUAAUAAUGUGUAACGUCAGCUGCACAAGAUGGCCCAGAUUUUUCAAAUGGAUUUCUUAAGGAAGAAGGAAAGGGUCCAGGAAUGAGGAAUUUUUAAAAAGGAAUUGGAAAAAAAAUCAGAACCACCACAGUUUUAGUUAGUAACUUUCACAAACUGGAAUUAGCUGUCUGGAGUGUACUUCCGAUGUUUGCUUUUGCUUUACUCCUGGGAUGCUAGUGCAAAUAAUUACUUCAUUCAAUUUAUUUCACAGGUCAACUUUGACUCAUAAAAGCAUUAAAACAGGUAACCCCCAGGGGAUGCUGGGAAGACAGAUGAGCAAAUAGAUAUGAAACUGUUGUGAGCAGUUUGGGGGUAGGCCACUUUAUAAAUCCAGGGUAUUUUAUGAUUAUGCCUCCACUUCACCCCAUCUGAUAUCCAGAAUGUGCUAGUUAUAAUUAAUAUGCAGUGUAGCGAACUGUUUUAAAAAUACUGCAGUCCUUUUAAGUGUAGUGAAGAAAAUAAUUGUGUUUGGGGGAAUCUCAUCCAGGGGAAAUUAGAAGAAUUCCCAAUAGAGGGGCAUAAUUGAGACGUGGGAUGGCUGCUCCUGUUCAGUCCAAAGGUAGAGCACAAGGAGGUAACUGACAGCUCUUAAAAUGCCAGUUUCAGAUUCUCGCUACAUGGGAAAUGUUUCCUGCCACACAUGUGCAACAGUGACAUCCAGUGGUUGCAGAGGUAAUUACAAAUGUAUCUUGCUUGAAAAUAUAAAAUAGUUUUGUAUUAUAAUCAAAUCUUCCUUGUUGGCCAGUGUUGGUUUUUAUUCCUCAUCCGGUCAACAACGUAUGUCAGUAACUCGGGCUGUAUGCCAAGUAAAGCCACAUUCUCUCCGUUUUCUUGCUAAAUAGUUUCCGGAGACUGUUCUGUUAGUAUUAUUUACCUGUCUUUUACUUUUACAAAAAUUGCAGUAGUUCUACUCUGAGGGUCUCUCCGAGAGACCCUAAGCACAUGUCCACCAACGUGGCAUCUUUUUAUAAGUGUGAAUGAUAGGGUGCAGCCACCGCCCUGCCCAGCAGGCAUAGAAACUGCACUUCCCCUCUGAAGUACGCAGGGGGGGUCAUCUGCGAUUGCGCACAUUUUCCUGGUUGUAGAAUUGCUUAAAGUAUUCAUCGGAUUUUCUUUCCAGGUCAUUGAAGAUGAUGAGAACGAAGAGGAAAGAAAAAAUAAAGGAGAGAAAGGAGAAGAGGAAGGAAGGGAAGGAAGAGGAGAGGAGAGGCAGAGAGGGAGAAGAAAAGAAGUAAGGGAGGAGGGGAGGAAGAAGGGAGAAGGAAGAGAGAGAGAGCGGGAGGAAGGAGAAGGGAGAACAGGACUACUCAUUGAUCUUCAUUUUGGCAAUAAGACCACAGAUAUCAGCCUCCAAAAAGUGUUCUUUUAUCUAACUGCACUCCUUCCACUACCAGGCAAUGAACUAAGACCAAAAAAAUUUUUUUUUUCAUUAAAAAAAAAAAAAAAACGCAAAAGAGUCUUGUUUGCUGCAAAAAACCUUGAGUAGUGCCACUGUAAGAUGCUUCAGAAGUGCUGCGUCUUCUGUCAGGGCCAAGCCUGGGAAGGCAGAUCAGCCUGCCUGUGGUUCUCGUUCACGGCAGGCAGAGCACCGGGUGGCUGCUUAGGGACGGCACUCACUCACAGCAUCCCCUGAGGAGCUAUUUCUCACUCUCAGACUCCGUAUGUGGUGGAGGGCUUUUCUCCUCAGUUCCUCUGUCUCUCUAACAAGUUCUGCAGGCGGGAAGAACUGAGAGACAUCAAAUUGCACUUUCUCCUUGCUAAAGUAGAAAAAGCAAAAAAAAAAAAAAAUCUACCAAAUUCCAAUAGAAAACAGUAACAUAGACAUACAAUUGUUGAAGGCUCCGAAUGCCUUUUAGCUAGUAAACCUUAUCCUCACUAUGCCCCAAAGAAGAAAACCAUCACAGAAAACGUGUUCAAUGGACGAAGUGUGUGUGUGUGUGUGUGUGUGUGUGCGUGCGCGUGCACGUGUGCAACCUAUGAUUUGCAUUAAAGAGUCAGGACACAGAGAAGGAGAUGGUCUCCUUUCACGCUGGGAAAUGGUUCCCAUUUGUGUCAGUGAGAGUUAGGGGCGAGGCGCAUUGAGACAGAGCAGGUGAGUCCACAGCCUUGAACCAGGUCGGUUUGCUUUCAUAAGGGCUUUGAACUGCGAGUGCUGGAUUCUGGAGAUUCUGCAGAGCAGGGAUGCCGCCCUCGGUCCAUCUUCCCUGGACCAUGCCUCUGCCUCCUGGCUUCUCUUUGUCGCUUUGGUAGCAGGAUCUCAUCGGGAAUAUACGGAAGAUUAGCAGGCUUGGGUCUUGCCCCUCCUUUUAAUUCUGCAGGAGCCUGGCUCGGCUGGCUCUUAUCUUCUGCACCCUGGAACCCUGGCUGGAUGAUUUCUGGAGUUGAGCCAGAGCCCCGUGCAGAGUGAGAAUUGAGCCUUCCCUUAACAGUGUAGGGGGCCUCCUCCCCCAACACCGCCACCCACGGCCACCGCACUACCAGCUCCUGCCAGUCUGAGGAGCAAGAGGCUGGCAUAAAGAAUCAGUUCCCUUCCUUCCUCCUUAAAGAAAAAAAAAAAAGGGCCUGCCUUGCAAAGUCCCUUCACUGUUUCAGAGCAGGGGAAAAAAAAAAGCAGUUGCACAACACGCACUCUUCUCCUGGUGUAUAGCUCCCGGGUAUCAUUUUACUACAAUAUAUAAUCUAAUAAUCCAUUUAAUUUCUUUAGAGAGAUGUUAUAUAUACAGGUGGCAUUUGGAUGGAAUCACAUGCCAUAAACCUGUCUGCUCCUAUCCGGGUGCAGAAUGCAGAGGAAGAAUCUAUUUUACAGGCCUUCUCGAAUUUUUACAUGGUCAAUUGGCUGGUUUUUGUAUUCUGGAACGUAUCAGAGCAUCUGCAGGAAAAAAAAAAUAUAUACAUAUAAAUUCUAUAAAACGGUGGCAGGAUUUCUGAUUUACCGAGAGUGCUUGUUUGAAUUUUCACAAAAAUACUUAGCUAUAUAGGACAAUGUAUUAGGCGUAUUCUUAAAGGUAAAUAACUGCAACCAAUAAAAGUUUGGCCCAUAAAGGGUCCCAUCUUCUACUAGUUUUCUGCACCGAGAAUUACUACCAGUAUAAUCACGGCUCCCUGCACACUAAUAUUUCCUCUGAUACAGUAUGAUCAAUGUUGUGGAAAAACAUUUAUUAUAUUUCUUCUAGCUACUUAAAGGCAUUACUGAAUUAUGGGCAUCGCAAAACGAAUCCACUGUGCAUUUUUUCUUUAUGUGACGUUUUUACAAUCUUCAUUUUCUGCUUUGCAGCCACUGAGCUAUAGAGAUCCACACUUCGUCCCUCUCACAGCUGCCACUGCGGCCACCCUCUCCUUUCUGCUUUAUUACAUCGGAAACGCACUUCAUAUGAUAACCUUCCUUUUCAUUCUGCACCGGCCUCUUAUUAGAAGGGAAGAACUUAGGCAAGAAAUUAAACACUCAGUGUGGUUAAUAACAGUUGCUCGUCUCCUUAGCUAAUAAAGCUGGUGAAGUUUAGACUGAGAUAACGGACAAGGGGCGGGGAUAGCAUUUCACAGACUUAUUCCAGGAUGGCGGAUGGGCUCCGACUGGGCGUGAGCUUUGCAGUUUUGACAUUUAGCGAGUUUAUUAACAUCUGUGCUUCUGAGGCACCUCGCCCACAGGGUCUGCAGCUGGGAGAGAGUGCGUCCAGCCAAUGGCCCGUGUCUCGGCCCCUGCCAGGGGAUGAAUCAAUUAGCAAGGGAAGCAGUGAUGCAAAUGUGCUGGGGUCACAUGGGAUGCUGUUUGCCUUUCUGACAGAGAAAGCGUGCCAUAAAUAACAUCACACCUCAGGAAGCCAUUCCCGGAGGCCCCGAUGCCAGCGGGGCUGCUGUUGGGGACGGAAGGAAUCGGAAUCGUUGGCUCAUUGUGCAUACUUCCCCCAUCUCAGUCAAUGGGAGAUUUGUAGUAAAAUCAAAGUAUUUAAAAGGAGGACAGUGUGUGGUAACAGAGGCAUGUUCAGUCAUCUUUUAGUACCACAACCCAUGAUUUAUGACCCAGAGUUACAGCCAACUUUAUUACAAAAAUGACUUCACCUAUAAUAACCUUCUGCAGGGCUCUCUGGAGAAUGAGGUAGUGGCCCACAGCAUUAGAAUCUGGCAAGUAUGCACAAACAAUUCCUGCCUCUGUCUCAUGUCCCCCACGCCCACCCCCAGAGAAGGCUUCCCCCCACACCUGCUGGGAGAACUGGGUUUCUCAGCAAGGUGUUGUGCUUUUGGUGGGAGGAUUUGCCUGCAUCAGGUGUUUGUAGGAACUCAGGGAGCUGCCUCCUGGCUCCCAGGAGUGCCUCCCCCUCCCUCACCCGGUGCCCUGAGGAAUAAGGAGCAGAGGAUGCCCACUCGCCCUUCACUUCCUUCUCUGUGCUCCCCCCACGAUGUUCACCACUUGAGAUCACUGAGCGCACCCCCCUCAUCCUUAUAAUUGCCAUGGGAACCGACAGCUGCACUAAAACUGCCAGGGCUGGGUGUCCAAGCAGGGUCCCCUGGGCGUCCCAGGAUCUAGGAACUGGCCCUCCGUCUUGUUAAACUCUCGUGUCAGUUCCUAGCGAUUGUUUUAAAUUUACAUCCUCAGAGUGGCUUAGUGGGAUUACGUGUCCAUUUGCAUUAAAACAGGUUUCUGUCAUUAAACUGCCAUACAAUAAGCUUCCUUGGGACAAAUUAAUGAGCUCUAAAUAUCAUCAAGUAGAAGUUCACUUCACCACGACAGCCAACAAGCAGGGGCCGAAGGCAGCAGCUGCCUCGAAUCUUAGCCCAGGAGAACUGUAAGUGCCAACCAGAGAAAGGGCUUGGGCUGCUUCUGAGCUGCAAGGUGAGUGUUCCUGGUUUACAGCUGCUGGGGGGCUGUUGGUGACACUCGAGCCACUCACCCACAACCUUGCAGCCCACCUCCUCCUCUUCCUAUUCCAAAUAUACCUUCGGCCUUGACCUUGUCUGCAGAAGUGAACUGAUGAGCCGGUGGCCUCUUUCCUCUGAGACAGUGUCUCAGCCUCAUUGGCUUUGCCCUGUGAUUUGUCUGUGCUCGAGGAGCUUGUCUGUUUCUCUGUAGCUAGCGGGCAACGUGCAGGCGGCACAGCCCCACUUGUAGCUUGCAUGAGGUGCCCCUGACUCUCACAUGCCUGUAGGACGGGUUCUGGGCCAUCUGGCCUGUUACUUGUGGGCCUAGAGCCUGAAAUGCUAGCUAGUCUUGUUAAAGAACACAUUUCCUAGUCAUCCAGGAGCCGACUAGGAACAGGGGACAGUUUGUAUUGGCAAUGCUUGCCCUGACAAAUACAUACAUGUCUCGAAGUAGAAAUUUUUCACCAAAAGCAAAUAAAUAAUCCCUUACCCUUGUCUUAUGUCAAAGAGGUAAAACUGGCUGCUUGUCAGACUUCCUGGUCUACAUAGGCUGUGAUCUCAUUUCUGUGUAGCCUUAAUGGGGACAGCGAUGUAUGAUGGAGACACUGCUGUAUUUAGGAAUGACAAGAUGGGCAUUAUUAAUAGCUUAAUUGACAUUAAGGCAAUUACCCCUACCCUUAUUACAGUUUGUAGAAUUACACAGAAAAUAUUGGCUGAGGCCUUUUUUUCCCUAGAGCUACCCAAGGAUACAGCAUUUUAUUUCAUGCCAGAUCCCAGCUUUGACAUUAGAUACUUAGCCAUAGAAUGAUUCCAGUAAAUCAUUAUAAAUGCAUUAUAAUAAAGAUGUUAUGAGCUAUCAGAUAUUAACCCCCAACCCCUAAAGAGAGAUAAAUAGUCCAGUCGCAUGAUUCCCACUUUUGUUUCAUAAGAAAUAAGCUUUUGCAAAGAGCAACUGACUAAUGAAUUAUAAAAUGGUGUGUUGAGCUCAGAUAAUUAAACAAUGCAUUUUAGUGUCUGGUGCAGGAUGAACACUAAAUCAUACACAAAUAAAAAAAGGAAAAAACCAAAACCCCAAGCCCAACUCGUAUUUUCAAAUAGCAUUGAGUUUGGUCUGCAGUCCAGAAAUGCUUCACCUCUCUUCUUAUCUGAUUAGAAAGGUAUAUCAGAUACAAGAUCAGGAUGCAGAAGAAGGUAAACCAAACCAAAAGUCAGAACAGGAGUUCUGGAGGUGCUAAUUUCAGAUAAGCCUACAUGGUUAUUUUAAUGGAGAUUUUACAAAGAGAUUCCAUUUUCCCUACAACAUGUCCAUGGGGCAAAAGUCUAGAAGAACCUGGAAGAUUCCAAGUGUCCUUAUAUUGUCCAACUUUUGUAUUUUGUCUCUGAAUGCAAAGUAACGUGUAUUAGUGAGGUCAGCGGAGAAGGGUGAAAAUUAGGAUAUUGAUGGUGAUCUUGGCCUUGCAGCGUCAGAAGGCAAAUGCAUGCUCUAAACUCUUCCCCAUGCUGGGGAGGUGGAAGGGUGGGGAGGGAGGCUGGGUUCCCCAACAGGGCUCCACCUACUGAUCAGUGUUGGGUCUCCAUGCCCUUUUCUGCCAAGGCCCCCAUGCAGGGCUGGUUUGCCAUCGGCUGCCGUUCCUGGCUUGGUACUGAUUUGCUCCGUGGUUUGAAGCUGUGCUCCAGCGUGUCUGGAAUAUGUGUUUUCAUCUUCCAGCCUCUCAAAGACUUCCUUGAGCCAGUCUCCUGUUUCUUGGUCAAACAACACACCAUCCAGGACUGUGUGGCCCAAACUAGCCUCUGUGUGGUCAUGAUCACCUGUGCCAAACAAGGCUUCCCUGGGGCACUUGAUACACAACACACCCCUUGACCAGUCCUCUCUUAUGCUCCAGUCAAGCUGGGCCACACAGCCCAGUCCUCCUUCCACUUCCCCAGUCCCACGUGUCGGACCCUGUAGGUUAGUUGAUCUUUUGAAGGCUUAUUCUCUUCUAAUGUGAAAAGAGGUAAUAAUAAUGCAUAUCCAUAGGGUUGUGUGAACAUUAAAUGAGAUCACUUAUGUAAUGAUCUAGCUACACAAGGUAAGCCCACAAUUUAAUUUUAUCUAAUUUUAGUUAUCUUAUAUUUUUUCCUAUCCUGAAUCUCUUCUCUCCACUCUUUUGUUUUUAUUAAUAUUUAUGUAUUACAGAAACAGAAAGAAAGAAAGAUAUACAAACACAGAGCUCCCUUCAACAGAUUCAGUCUCCAAAUACUCGCAAUGGCUGGGUUUUCUCGUGUCUUGAUCUUAUAUUUGAUAUAGGCCAGGAUCCAGGAAAACAAUCGAGGCCUCCCAUGUGUAUAGCAGAAACACAAUUAUUUGAACUAUUACUGUUUCCUCCUAGGGUGGGAAAUGGAAGCCAGAGGCAAGCAUUGAACCCAGGCACUCUAAUGUGGGACACAGGUGUCUCAACCACUAUGCUAAAAGCCUACUCCAAGUCUCUCUCUCCCUCCUCUCUCUCUCCUCCUUCCUUUCCCCUUCUCCCCCCACCACGUCUUCCCUCCUGCUUUCUUCCUCCACUCCUCCCCAUCUUCUUCUACAUCAUUUUCUCUCAUACAUACACGUACAUGCUUACAAAUUCCCAAAGGCAGUCUCAUGUGAACAUGUCUUGCUAUAUCUAGCACAGUGUUUUGCUUGUGGAACACACACAUACAUGCUUGCUACACGGAACAAUAUUAAUAAGUUAAUAACAGUUAAUGUCUUCAACUACUUAGUAUGAGCCAAGCACUAUGCUAUCAACUCCUCAUCUAAUUCUCACAAAUAUAUGAGAUAAGUACUCUUUUAAUCCUCAUAAGACUUAACGAUGUUAUGGUACUUGCCCCAGGCCACACACACUCAGGAAGUGGACAACCCAAAUGCAAGGCCAGAAUCGGCCUGGAUUUUGGAGUCUCCGUUCUUAACCAUUGCUAUGUCAGGCUGAUUUUUCUCAGAUUUUCCCCAUUUCAGACUGAGCCCCAUCGAGGAAACAGUCAUGAGCACACACUCACUUACAGGACAUUGAUUUUGGAGUUCUAAGAAGUCCAGAUGUGUGCAUUACCUCUAGUUUACUGGUGCCCAAAAGUCACUUACUCCCGGGACAUUAUGUAAAGCCAUCCAAAAAGACUGUACUGUUCCAGACGCCAUAAAGUUAGUUGUACUUUGGGAGAAAGUGUCUGUGGUAGAUGAGGGGCUUGGUUAUGUAGUCCUAUUGCUGGCCACAAUGGCUGGAGCUGUCCUGUCAUGCUUGACACCCUGGCUUCCUGGCAGCCUCACCCUGGCUCACUGUCACAGGUGAGGGAUGCCUCCCAGUCUUGGCUCAGAACACUUAUGCUCCCUAAUGACCCAAGACUCACAGACCCCACACAUCCCUUAAUUAAAGAAGUAGGUUAAGAGGUGUAUUUAGGAUUAAGGAUGAAUUAUACUAUUAAUUUAAGAUGGACAUUCUAUUAGAUAACAGGCCAUGCAUGAGUUUAUUAAAAAUGCUGCCUUCAUGAACAAGGAUCCACGGACGAGGUUACCCUGAGGUGGCUGUGUGGCCAAAGGCACCCUCACAGAACUGCAAGUGAAGGAGCUAGGAGUUCAGCCUGCUGCUGCCAAGCGCAGGCUGACUACUUGUUGUACACUUGGCCUUCAACCACAGAAGCCAGACGUUUAGGGCUUUCCACAGUCUUCAUUUCAAGCUUGAUCAUCCCAAGGGCUGUAGUGCACACUACUAGAACAACAAAGAGUCAACCACCUGCCCCUCCCAGGCACACAGAUGCUGUACUCCUUGGCUCCUUUGCAGUUGUGUAGACCAUGUGAUCUGUCCAUGUGUUGUGAGCAGAGCUACUACGUUUCACUUCCCGGCCAACGUGUUUGAUUAUCUGUGGGAGACACUCCAGAUCUCUUUUUCCCUGCAGAAUUGAUCUUGGAAUCAUGAGUUGAGAAAACAGAGUGCUCAAUAUCCUGAAUUCCUGAAUGGGUUGGUGGAGCCGAGUCCUCCACGGCUCAUGUUAGACAUGUAGCAUGAGCAAGAAAUAGACUUUUAUUGGGCUAAACCACUGACAUUUGGAGGUGAUUUCUUAUCUAAAACAAAACCCAACCUGUCCUGACUAAUCCAGGAGCUCUUUGUCCAGAAAAUAGAGCCCUCUUCCAAAUCAUAAACCCUUACCCUUUUUCCAAUACCUUUCUUCACUCAUUAAAUGCCUUGCACAUUUCUUCAUCCUUUUGGUCUACUCAGAAGCCUAAAAUUGCCACAGUGACCUUGAAAUGGGCAGAGUGAUGGUUUGUCAUGUAUCCAUGUAUAAAUGGACUGUGGAACAAAUGAAGGAAACAAGCUUGACCUUUGGAACAUAUCAUGGCAUUAUGUGAUAAUGAAAAAAAAGGAGGAAAAGCAGAGAAAAAGGAGAAACAAUAAAAAGUGAAGAAAUGUAGAAUAGAGAGUAACACAAAAUAUAGGCCAUUUGUCUCAAGUUAGCUGUAGCCAAUGAUUGUAGUCGGCUGCCUGCCCAGAAGACUUCUCUCGGGAUGUCUUUGAUCCUCAAUGGCUGUGCGUGUACAUGCCUGGUAGGAAGGGUGAGGGAUGAGUCUCCUUUAUAUCAUCUUGGAAGUAUGUGUUACUAUAACUGGUCUAUGGCUUUGAAUGGGCAUUCCAUCACACAUUAAAAGGCAAUACAAAAAGUGAGAAGGGAGCUAGAAAUAAAUGAGUUUGAAUAGCUCUUCAUAACCUUUAAAUCCAAGUCCUUGAAAAGAGCCACUGACUAUGAGGUCAGAGCAAUAAUUCUUUGUCCUAGAAACAGGACAUCACUGAUAACCCAGAGCAAUCUAUUUAAGAAACUGUUUCAAAUAAAUUGGUUGGAAAUGUCCUUGUUUACUUUCCCUCCGUCUGGACAGAACUGGGGGUGCAAUCAGUACGGUGGGGCGGUGGGAGGUGAAAGCAGAGGAAUUGGAUAAAAUUUGCUGAAUAUUUUUGCAAAACUUCAGAUAUGGCGAAAAGUACAAUGUAUAGGCAUAAAAAAGGAGAGCUGUGAGUCACUCCACUGCUGAAGCCAACUGGGAACCCCAAGUAGAAUACUCACCAAGUUAUGGAGUAAAUAAUUUUUUUCCUGAAAUAUACAAAAUGUCUGUGGUCACACUGCCCACAUUCAAGUAUACUCAGAGGUAAAAUUGCAAAACUACAGAAGGAAGUUGGUCCCUUCCCCCUGGGGGGAAGUAACUGCAUCUGGGAUCUCCUUUCUGUUGGUUUAUUUGUGCGUGUUUGCUCACAUGCAAAGCUCAGAUGUCCAAUGAGAUGAGAACAGACAACACUGAAUAAACAGAAAUCUAAUCCAUGGAAGAAUAAGAAGGAUGGCUGGCACAUAAAACAGGUAGGAAAAUCACAUCAUAUUUUAGGAGAUCUCUGUGGACCACGUCAAAAAGCAAGAAAAAUGUUGGUCCAUCCUGGUUGCAGGUUUAAACAGAAGGACCAUGCCUUGGCAUCGACAUCUUCCAAAUUCAAAUCCAUCACCUUCCAUCAACCUGUCAUCCCAAGCUACAUUCCUCUCCCAUUUCUUAUCAAAACAACAUUCUUAUUUCCCUGGCUUCUCUUCUAAACUGUGAGUCUCUUUCCUACUUUGCUCUUCAUUCAAACACUUCCCCUUCAAAAUCUUUCCUUCUUAUCUCCUCCUAGCCUGGGCAUAUAUUAGUUGGCCUACCUAUUUCUACAUCAUUGCCUUCCUACUGGACAUAUAAAACAGAAAUAAUGAAAUACUUUUCCAUACUCCAAGGCAGAAAUGAUGACUCUUAUAACAAUGACCUUACAGACUAGAUUUCACAGACAGUUCAGAUUUCAUGUGAUUUUGUUAUCUUUCAAUAAAGUCAAUUCGUAGAAUUCAAUAUAUUUAGGAUAAAGGUUGUAUGAGAUUACCUAUUUUUUUUUCUCUAGCAUUUCUUUUCCCCCUGUGAGUUUCCUCCUCCCUCAUUCAAGCAGAGAGAGAGAUGUCUCUGGUCUUUCAUUCAAGGAAGCACGUGAUAGAUAGCAUUAAACAGAAGGAGAGUUCUCUUCUAGGCUUGCCUAUUUUCAAGGACUGGCUCCUUCGGGAAACAAAGACAGCUCAGAGGCAAAAGGCUUGAGGGAAAACAAAAAUACAAAAUAGACUCUACUCCUUGACCUCCUAUUGUGAAAAAAUCCUCAGCAUUGAUGAAAAGGGAAGAUUGAGAGAUAAUCCAUGGGAACAGAAAAGUUGGUGGGCCUGGGUGCCCAAGAAUAAUGACUUAGGUCCUGCUGGCCAGUUUUAGAUAUAGUGUAUGGGCAAAACCCCCAAAGAAGUGUACAGUAGAGGAGAAGGGACUAAAGGUUGGUAAAUCUGUAUAAUCACUUUGCGGAUUAAUUUGGUACCAUUUGGUAAAAUGGAAAUGGAAACUCAGGAGAAAAAUUUCCACCAGAACAUACAGAGAUUUGCAUAAAAUGUUUAUUGCAUAUUUAUUGCAGCAUUACUUUUUUUUUAAAUUUAUUUGAGAGGUAGAGUUACAGACAGUGAGAGGGAGAGACAGAAAGGUCUUCCUUCCAUUGGUUCACUCCCCAUAUGGCUGCAACGGCCAGAGCUAUGCCAAUCCAAAGCCAGGAGCCAGGUGCUUCUUCCAGGUCUCCCGUGUGGGUGCAGGGACCCAAGGACUUGGGCCAUCCUCCACAGGUGGAGGAAUAACCCACUGCACCAUGGAGCCAUGCCCUCAGCAUUACUUUUAAUGGAAGACUUCAAACAGUCUAACAGUCUAAUAGUAGAAGAGGUAAUAAAUUUGGCAUUGUGUUAAUCACAGAAUGCUGUGUAACAGUGAAAAGAAAUGGUUAAAAAUAGGAAGAAAUUAAAAUGAAAUUUAGAUCUUUGAAUCCAACUAUUUACUAAGGCUUAAGAGUUAAACAUUGGCCGGCGCCGCUGCUAAUCCUCCGCUUGUGGCGCCGGCACCCCGGGUUCUAGUCCCAGUCGGGGCACCGGAUUCUGUCCCGGUUGCUCCUCUUCCAGUCCAGCUCUCUGCUGUGGCCCGGGAGUGCAGUGGAGGAUGGCCCAAGUACUUGGGCCCUGCACCUGCAUGGGAGACCAGGAGAAGCACCUGGCUCCUGGCUUUGGAUCAGUGCGGUGCACCGACCACAGCGCGCUGGCUGCAGCAGCCAUUGAGGGGUGAACCAACGGAAAAGGAAGACCUUUCUCUCUGUCUCUCUCUCUCUCACUGUCCACUCUACCUGUCAAAAAAAAAAAAAGAGUUAAACAUUGUCAUGAACCCCAUGUUAUGUAAUAGUAACAUAUUCAUCCCUGUUUUUAAAAGAUAGUAUGUGUGUAUACACAAAUACAGUGCUUGCAUAGGAAUAUGGCAAAAUGUUAAAAAUUGUGCUUAUUGAACUCUUCCUUAUACUUUUCUGUAUUAUUUGAAAUAUUUUUAAAUGAAAACACAAAAAGUGGUUAAACCGUAAAUGCCUCAUUUUACAGAUGAGAAGGAAUGGGGAGCCUGAAGUUUAAAUGAUUUCUUACCAUCAGGUCAUUAUUUAGACUUUCUAAAUUGGUCUUUGGUCCAUGAUGCCACCCAUAUCACACCCAAGCCUCUUGGUUUAGUUUUCAGUCUCUUUCAAGAAGAUGACAACAGUCCAUCCCCUCCGACCUCCUCAAUUAGCCAGCCCAGAAGAACAAGUGCAGAGGGUAGGCAUUAAUAGUUAAUACAUUGGUUAAGACACUGACAUCCUGGGGCCGGCACUGUGGCAUAGCAGGUAAAGCCUCCGCCUGCAGUGCUGGCAUCCCAUGUGGGUGCCAGUUCGAGUCCUGACUGCUCCACUUCCGAUCCAGCUCUCUGCUAUGGCCUGGGAAAGCAGUAGAAGAUGGCCCAAGUUGCUGGGUUCCUGCACCUGCAUGGGAGACCUGGAAGAAACUGCUGGCUCCUGGCUUUGGAUCGGCGCAACUCCAGCCAUUGCAGCCAAUUGGGGAGUGAACCAGCGGAUGGAAGACUUCCUUCUCUCUCUGUGUAACUCUGACUUUCAAGUAAAACAAAUAAAUCUUAAAAAAAAAAAAGACACCCACAUCCCAUCUCAGAGUGCCUCAGUUUUGUUCACAAACUCCAGCUUCCUGCCAAGGCAAGCCCUGGGAGGCAGCAGUGAAAUGUCAAGUGACGGGGUUCCUGUCACACAUGUGGGAGACCUGGACUGAGCUUCUCAUCUCCAGCUUUGGCCCAGCCCCGGCCACUGCAAGCAUUUGGGUAGUGAAACAGCAGAUAGGAGUCUCUCCCUCAAUGACUUUUUAAAAACAGAAGAGGAGGAAAUGGGAAGAUGCAAAGGAUGAGCCUAUGUUAGCCUUCCUCUUGAGAUGAAGAAGAGGAUCGUAACACAAUGCUCUAUGAACCUCCUAGCUGACCCAGUCCUCCUGUUUCCCUCAUUCGCAAAAGACCUUUUGAUCCUCCCUGAAUCUUCAUUUUUAUUAGAAAAAUUAGGAGUCUGAAUAGAAAGAAGUAUCAUCGGGGCCAGUGCUGUGGCGUAGCGGGUAAAGCUACUGCCACCAGCAGUGCCGGCAUCCCAUAUGGGCUCCAGUUCAAGUCCUGGCUGCUCCACUUCCCACAGCUCUCUGCUGUGGCCUGGGAAAGCAGUGGAAGAUGGUCCAAGUUCUUGGGCCCCUGUACCCACAUGGGAGACCUGGAAGAGGCUCCUGGCCCCUGGCUCCUGGCUUCAGAUUGGCGCAGCUCCAGCCGUUGCAGCCAUCUGGGGAGUGAGCCAGCAGAUGGAAGCUCUCUCUCUCUCUCUCUCUCUCUGCCUCUCUUUCUCUCUGUGUAACUCUGACUUUAAAGUAAAUAAAUAAAUCUUAAAAAAAAAAAAAAAGAAAGAGGUAUCAUCAACCCCGUAAGUUCAAAGUAUUAUCUCUGCAACAAGUCUGUUGGCUAACUGUGGAAUCUAAGCAGUCUUGAAUUCCCAGCUGAAAUCUACACCCAUAAAAUAGUUUUCCCCAGUCUUUUUUCCUGAGUCUUUUUUCUAUACCCUAACAUUUUCUUCUGGUUAUGAUCUAGUGACCAUGCUCGAUCCUUCUUUUCCAGUAUACUGUAUCAUUCUUAAUGUUCCUAUAAAAUUGUGGGAAUGCUCUUCUGCCUGAGCUGUCAAGAUUGGAAUUUCGUGAAACAUUUCAACACUACAUGGCAAUUCACACAUUGUUUUUCCUUAAGGACCAGGAUCCCAAUGUCAGUGAUUUGGCCUUGGCUCCAUCUGAGAGCCGAAGAUGGGAGUGGCAGCCUCCACACCACCAGCACUGACCUCCGGCACGGUCUAGUGGACUGAACAGGAGUGGGAGUCAGGAACUCCACACCGAGUACCAAUUGUGUGGGUGACUUGGGCUGUGGCAUUAGAGGAAGCUGUUCCGCCUCUAGGCUUCUUUUGCAUAGGAUAAGAAAGCUGUCAGCAGAAGAAGUUCUCUGAGGCCGGAUGCUACAGUCAUUAAGAUACCGAGAGCAAAGUCAGCCUCUUCCUCGGCCAGGACUAGGUCACCCUUGGUGUCCUCAGCCACAGCCCAACCAUCAGAGACACGAACGGCUCCAAUUCACUUUGCACAUUUAAAGUAACAUACUUUUUGUAGUUAUUAAUGGUUUAUUCAUGUGAUCACCCAUGAGUGAAGGGCAUUUCCAUCUCCCACAUCUUUAAUGGCAGGUAAUUAAUGAUGUGUUAGAAAUUAACAACAAUUAACCGUGCAUAGGAACAAUGGCAGAAGGUCAGAAACUGAAGACACAGUGUGGAGCUUCUCAGGCAGAAUCUUGCCAUUUCGCAGGGAGACGCCAGGAGAAUGCGUCCUGUGAAAUAUCUUGCCAUUUUAGUCAUUUUUUAAAUGGGGAAAACAUCAACUAUGGCUCUAGUGCAAUGUAACAGUUCAGAUUUCUCUGGUGGGCCAUAAGAAUUAGAAGCCCAGAAUGUCUCCCCUUGGCACAAAUGCAACUUUGUUCCAGAACAUGGGCCCAGACAUAAUCAUUUUUUAGGAUUAAAGUGUUUAACAAGAUUAAAAAUGUUAAUGGGGGAAUAUAAACAAAUACCUGGCGCCUGUGUUAAGCUUGUUGGUUUUGCUAAACAAGCAAAAUAUUAUAUAACAUAUUGUAGUUUUAGCUACAUACGAGUAAUCAUUGCCUAAACUACAGAACAGAUAUGUAAUUUAAUAGUUACAUGAUCAUUUUAAGAAUGUAGUUGAUUCUAGUGGAUUUCUGGAAAUAACCCUUACUUGAAUAUUAUAUAAAUAUACUUACUGUCAUUCCUCAGUAUCUAUGGGGGUUGGUACUAGGAUAGCAAAAUCCAUAGAUUCCAAAGUCCUUUAUAUAAAGUGGGAUAAUAUUUGCAUAUAACGUAAGUCCAUCCCCCAUAUACUUUAAAACAUCUCUUGAUUACUUAUAAUAUCUAAUGUAAAUGCUACACAGAUAUACUUUAUUGUUUAAGGCAUAAAAUGAGAAAAUGUACAUAAAUCCUCAAUACAGACAUAAUUUUUUUCCCAAAAAAUUUUAAAAGAUUUAUGUAUUUAUUUGAAAGGCAGAGUUACAGAGAGACAGAGGCAGAAAGAGAGAGGGAGGUCUUCCAUCCGCUGGUUCACUCCCCAAAUGGCUGCAAUGGCCAGGGCUGCACCUGGAGUCAGGAGUCAGGAGCUUCUUGCUGCAGGGGCCCAAGGACUUGGGCCAUCUUCCACUGCUUUCCCAGGUUAUAACAAAGAGCUGGAUCAGAAGUGGAGCAGCCAGGACUCAAACCGACACCCCUCUGAAAUGCCAGCACUGCAGGUGGUGGCUUUACCUGGUACACCAUAGUGCUGACCCCCCAAAUGUUUUCAAUACAGGGUUGGCUGAAUCCACAGAUGAAGAACCCACAAAUGAAGAGGACCAAUGGUACAUAGAAAUUAUAUAUGUAUAUAUACAUGUUUUGUUUAUAAAUCUCUGCAAGUAUCAUUGCUGUAUAUAUGCAAGUUAAUAAAUAUAUUGUUUUAACAAUUUAUAUACUACAUAAGUGCCAAAGAAUAUUACUACUUAGAGCUAGAUAUCCCAAUCUCACCCUGUGAUUUUUUCCCCCAUUUUUAAAAUUAUUUUAAAAAUUUUUCUUUAAGGUAUACAGAUUUCAUGUAUUUCAUAUAUACAGAUUUAGGAACAUAGUGACACUUCCCACCCUAGCCUCCCUUCUGCCCAUGCUACCGUCCUUCCUCCUCCUUCCUCUCCUAUUCCCUCUCUUAAUAUUUACAGUGAUCUACUUUCAGUCUACUUUAUACUCACAAGAUUAAUCCUACACUAAGAGUUCAACAAAUAGUAAGAAAAAAAAAACACUAUUCCUGAACAGUAGAGACAAGAGCUGCAAAUAAUCAUCGAAUCUCAAAAUGUCAAUUUCACUCCUAUACAUUACAUUUUAGUUACUCUAUUAGUUACCACAGAUCAAGGAAAACAUAUGGUAUUUGUUUUUUGGAGGACUGGCUUAUUUCACUAAGUAUAAUGGUUUUCAGUUGCAUUCAUUUUAUCGCAAAAGACAAGAUUUCAUUCUUUUUAUGGCUGAGCAGUAUUACAAAGGUAUAUAUACCACAAUUUCUUUACCCAAUCAUCAGUUGAAGGACAUCUGGGUUGAUUCCAUAUCUUAACUAUUGUGAACUGAGCUGCAAUAAACAAGGGGUACAGAUCACUCUUUCAUAUGUUGAUUUCAUUUCCCUUGUGUAAAUUCCCAGGAGUGGGAUUGCUGGGUCAUAUUUUCAGCUGUCAUAUUUCUAUACUGUCUUCCACUAUGGCUGUACUAGAUUACAUUCCCUCCAAGAGUGGGGUAGGGUACCAUUUUCCCUACAUCCUGACCAACAUUUAUUGUUAACUGAUUUUUUUAUGACAGCCAUUCUUAUUAGGGUGAGGUGAAACCUCAUUGUGAUUUUUGAUUUGCAUUUCACUGAUCCUGAGCAUUUUUUUCAUGUGUCUAUUUGCCAUUUGAAUUUCCUCUUUUGAAAAACACCUGUUCAAGUCCUUUGCCCUUUUCUUAACUAAAUUGUUUGCUUUGUUGUUGUUGAGUUUCUUUAGCACUUUAUAGAUUCUAGAUUAAUUGUUUAGCAGUUUACAGUUUGCAAAUCUUUUCUCCCAUUCUGUUGGUUACCUCUUCAUUUUGCUGAGUAUUUCUUUUGCAGAGCAGAAGCUUCUCAGCUUGAUAUAAUCCCAUUUGUCUAUUUUGGCUUUGAUUGCCUGUGUUUUUGAUGUCUCUUCCAAAAAGUCUGUGCCUAUGCCAAUGUCUUGCAAAGUUUCCCCAAUGUUCUCCUCCAGUAAUUUGAUGGUAUUAGGUUGUAGAUUUAGAAAUUUGAUCCAUUUUGAGUUGAUUUUCAUUUAAGAUGUAAGGUAGGGGUCUAACAUCAUGCUUCUGCAUGUGGAGAUCCAAUUAUUCCCCAUUUUAAAAAAAUGCUUUUUUAUUUGAAAAUCAGAAUUACAGAAAAAGAGGUAGAGACAGAGCUUCCAUCCACUGGUUCAGUCACCAAAUGGCCACAACAAACAGGGCUGGGCCAGGCCAAAGCCAGGAGUCAGGGGCUUCUUCUGGGUCUCCCCCAUGAGUGCAGGGGCUCAAGGUCUUGGGCCAUCCUCCAUUGCUUUACUGGGCACAUUAGCAGUGAGCUUUAUUUGAAGAGGAGCAGCUGGGACUUGAACCAGCACCCAUAUAGGAUGCCAGCAUCACAGGAGGUGGCUCUACCCACUAUGCCAUAGCACUGGCCCCAUUUUUUCCCAUUUUUAAAUAUGCAACAAGAAAUCCUCAGGUCAAAAUAUCCAGCAUAUCCCAAUGGUGAAAAAAAGUCAGAGAGAGUGAGUCUAAUUAACAAAUUGAUGAUUUAACCAAGGAUAUAUACCAAGGGUAUCCUACUAUAGAGCAGGCCUGGA
This is a non-coding RNA of Oryctolagus cuniculus (rabbit), 20164 nucleotides long. NCBI's taxonomy places the organism in Eukaryota, Metazoa, Chordata, Mammalia, Lagomorpha, Leporidae. The record is from RefSeq and is a predicted model, not a curated record.